This is a long non-coding RNA of Camelina sativa (false flax), 999 nucleotides long. RefSeq lists it as uncharacterized. The record is from RefSeq and is a predicted model, not a curated record. NCBI's taxonomy places the organism in Eukaryota, Viridiplantae, Streptophyta, Magnoliopsida, Brassicales, Brassicaceae.
AAUCAUUGAUUUUUUUUUAAGUGUCGCCCCUCAAACAUUUGACCUAAACACACUCAAAUCUCAGAUCUAUUAGUCUUUUCCACUUCCUCACUUCUCCUCUUUGUUUCUUCAUCUCUUUUCUCCCCUUCUUCACCAUAUUUUCUCUGCCACAUAUACACAUUCAACCGACACCACCAAUUUCUUUAUCUUCGUCGACCCUCCCUAUCACCAACCAUUCAGCCACUGAAUCUCAACAUCAGUUCUCAUGCCUUUCACUCAAGCCUCCCACCUCUGAAUCCUCUCCCUGUGAUAACCCUCUAUCAACGCCGUCCAUAGAUGGAGCUCUUAGAUCUGAGUUCCUUCGCUAGAUCUGACCCUCUCUCCCAUUCAUAUUCCCAAAUCUAUUCUUCUUGAACCUUCAAGGAAAAUCUGAAGAGAUUUUAAAGGUGGGUGGUAUUGGUUCCAGAGUUGAUGAAACAGCGGCAGAAUCUUUGGCCCAGAUGAAGCGUCUCUUGUUCUUAAGAGACUAAUAGCAAGAUCUACUAAGACUGCUAAAGAUUAUGCUUGGAGGUGUGAAUUUUAAUGAGAUCUGAUGAAAAAUGAAGGAUUUAUAUAUAGAGAAAAAUCCGGUUGAUACCUAUUUUCAGGAAGGAUCUUAUUUAACAGUGACAACAUAACUUUGAUGAACAUAGAACAUGAAAACACAACCGUGUCUAUGUUAACAAGGGAACAUGAGGUUUGUCUCAUCAAGAUAUGCUCUGGCGAAGUUAUUUCUGACCACAAAUGCGAAAUUGUUGAUGAAGUAAGAAGACAUGUGUUUAGUGAAGAUGGAGAAUUUAAAGCAAGAAGACAUGUGUUGAGUGAAGUCCAAGAAUUUGAAGUGAUUACAAGUCAAGGUGAAAAUGGAAUCUUGUAAACUUUGUAAAAAAUUGUUACUUGCGUUUAUUUGAACUUAUGUUUGUAUUUUUGUGACAAUUAAUGAAUUAUUUUGAUAUUAAUAUACCGUCUUUAAAUUCUGAA